This 301-nucleotide ribosomal RNA is filed under the name uncultured bacterium. Its description in RNAcentral is "partial 16S ribosomal RNA". It matches the Rfam family "Bacterial small subunit ribosomal RNA", at positions 509 to 807 of the family's 1533-position model. The record is from RNAcentral.
CAGUAGCCGCGGGAAUACGGAGGGUGCAAGCGUUAAUCGGAAUUACUGGGCGUAAAGCGCACGCAGGCGGUCUGUCAAGUCAGAUGUGAAAUCCCCGGGCUUAACCUGGGAACUACAUUUGAAACUGGCAGGCUAGAGUCUUGUAGAGGGGGGUAGAAUUCCAGGUGUAGCGGUGAAAUGCGUAGAGAUCUGGAGGAAUACCGGUGGCGAAGGCGGCCCCCUGGACAAAGACUGACGCUCAGGUGCGAAAGCGUGGGGAGCAAACAGGAUUAGAGACCCCGGUAGUCCCUGUCUCUUAUAC